CCUAACACAUGCAAGUCGAACGGAACUGUUUGAAAGAUUCUUCGGAAUGAAUUUGAUUUAGUUUAGUGGCGGACGGGUGAGUAACGCGUGAGUAACCUGCCUUCAAGAGGGGGAUAACAUUCUGAAAAGAAUGCUAAUACCGCAUGAUAUAUCGGAACCACAUGGUUCUGAUAUCAAAGAUUUUAUCGCUUGAAGAUGGACUCGCGUCCGAUUAGUUAGUUGGUGAGGUAACGGCUCACCAAGACCGCGAUCGGUAGCCGGACUGAGAGGUUGAACGGCCACAUUGGGACUGAGACACGGCCCAGACUCCUACGGGAGGCAGCAGUGGGGGAUAUUGCGCAAUGGGGGCAACCCUGACGCAGCAACGCCGCGUGAAGGAUGAAGGUUUUCGGAUUGUAAACUUCUUUUAUUAAGGACGAAACUUGACGGUACUUAAUGAAUAAGCUCCGGCUAACUACGUGCCAGCAGCCGCGGUAAUACGUAGGGAGCAAGCGUUGUCCGGAUUUACUGGGUGUAAAGGGUGCGUAGGCGGCUUUGCAGGUCAGAUGUGAAAUCUAUGGGCUCAACCCAUAAACUGCAUUUGAAACUGUAGAGCUUGAGUGAAGUAGAGGCAGGCGGAAUUCCCCGUGUAGCGGUGAAAUGC
Molecule: ribosomal RNA, 643 nt
Filed under: uncultured Lachnospiraceae bacterium
Lineage: Bacteria; Bacillati; Bacillota; Clostridia; Lachnospirales; Lachnospiraceae
Description: bacterial SSU rRNA
Rfam family: Bacterial small subunit ribosomal RNA
Source: RNAcentral